AUACGUAGGGUGCGAGCGUUGUCCGGAAUUACUGGGCGUAAAGAGCUCGUAGGUGGUUUGUCGCGUCGUCUGUGAAAUUCCGGGGCUUAACUCCGGGCGUGCAGGCGAUACGGGCAUAACUUGAGUACUGUAGGGGAGACUGGAAUUCCUGGUGUAGCGGUGAAAUGCGCAGAUAUCAGGAGGAACACCGGUGGCGAAGGCGGGUCUCUGGGCAGUAACUGACGCUGAGGAGCGAAAGCAUGGGUAGCGAACAGGAUUAGAUACCCUGGUAGUCCAUGCCGUAAACGGUGGGCGCUAGGUGUAGGGGUCUUCCACGACUUCUGUGCCGUAGCUAACGCAUUAAGCGCCCCGCCUGGGGAGUACGGCCGCAAGAUUAAAACUCAAAUGAAUUGGCGGGG
RNAcentral lists this ribosomal RNA (398 nucleotides) under uncultured bacterium. Its description in RNAcentral is "partial 16S ribosomal RNA". It matches the Rfam family "Bacterial small subunit ribosomal RNA", at positions 523 to 918 of the family's 1533-position model. The record is from RNAcentral.